Molecule: long non-coding RNA, 359 nt
Organism: Ailuropoda melanoleuca (giant panda)
Lineage: Eukaryota; Metazoa; Chordata; Mammalia; Carnivora; Ursidae
Exons: 4
Source: RefSeq, a predicted model, not a curated record
AAAGUCAUCUGUGUUAAGGAAAAUAUCUGAGUUGGUUUGGAACCAGGAGGGGAAGGAUACAAAACAAGGAAAAUCAAGGAGGCAUAACCAAGGUUUGCUGUUCGACGAGCACUUACACUUCUACUGGAGAGACAUAAAGCGUCAUAUGAGAAGUCAGGGGUGCAAACGAGGCAGUAUAUCCACCCAAUGAACGGCGCGACCAGGAAGCUCUUUAGAGGCGGACUCCAUCCUCACCAACACCACCUGGCACGGAUUAGGAGCACAGUAAAUAUGAGCAAGAGCGCACGCAGCGUGCACACACAGGAGAGAGACGGAAGGAAGAGGAAGAGAGAGAAACCCAAGCAGAUUUCCUGUUGAGC